GAUGAACGCUGGCGGCGUGCCUAAUACAUGCCAGUCGAGCGAACAGACGAGGAUCUUGCUCCUCUGACGUUAGCGGCGGACGGGUGAUUAACACGUGGAUAACCUACCUAUAAGACUGGGAUAACUUCGGGAAACCGGAUCUCAUACCGGAUAAUAUAUUGAACCGCAUGGUUCAUUAGUGAAAGACGGUUUUGCUGUCACUUAUAGAUGGAUCCUCGCCGCAUUAGCUAGUUGGUAAGGUAACGGCUUACCAAGGCUACGAUGCGUAGCCGACCUGAGAGGGUGAUCGGCCACACUGGAACUGAGACACGGUCCAGACUCCUACGGGAGGCAGCAGUAGGGAAUCUUCCGCAAUGGGCGAAAGCCUGACGGAGCAACGCCGCGUGAGUGAUGAAGGUCUUCGGAUCGUAAAACUCUGUUAUUAGGGAAGAACAAAUGUGUAAGUAACUAUGCACGUCUUGACGGUACCUAAUCAGAAAGCCACGGCUAACUACGUG
This 497-nucleotide ribosomal RNA is filed under the name uncultured bacterium. Its description in RNAcentral is "partial 16S ribosomal RNA". It matches the Rfam family "Bacterial small subunit ribosomal RNA", at positions 28 to 507 of the family's 1533-position model. The record is from RNAcentral.